This 570-nucleotide ribosomal RNA is filed under the name uncultured bacterium. RNAcentral's name for it is "bacterial SSU rRNA". It matches the Rfam family "Bacterial small subunit ribosomal RNA", at positions 8 to 579 of the family's 1533-position model. The record is from RNAcentral.
AGAGUUUGAUCCUGGCUCAGGAUGAACGCUGGCGGCGUGCCUAACACAUGCAAGUCGAACGGGCCGCGCCUGAAACCUAGUGAAGGCGCGGCCAGUGGCGGACGGGUGAGUAACGCGUGGGCAACCUGCCGCGCACAGGGGGACAACGGCCGGAAACGGCCGCUAAUACCGCAUAUUCCCGGGGGGCCGCAUGGCCCUGCGGGGAAAGCCCGGGGCGACCCGGACGGUGCGCGAUGGGCCCGCGUCCGAUUAGCUAGUUGGCGGGGCAGCGGCCCACCAAGGCGACGAUCGGUAGCCGGCCUGAGAGGGCGGACGGCCACACUGGGACUGAGACACGGCCCAGACUCCUGCGGGAGGCAGCAGUGGGGAAUAUUGCACAAUGGGGGGAACCCUGAUGCAGCGACGCCGCGUGGGUGAAGGAGCACCUCGGUGCGUAAAGCCCUAUCGGCAGGGAAAAAACAGACGGUACCUGACUAAGACGCCCCGGCUAACUACGUGCCACCAGCCGCGGUAAUACGUACGGGGCAAGCGUUAUCCUCAUUCACUGGGUGUAAAGGGAGCGUAGACGGC